GAAAUGUGUUGAUCCUAUAUAAGCUGCUAACUUAAUAUAUUAGCGGUUAAAUUCCGUUUACAUUUCU
This 67-nucleotide transfer RNA is filed under the name Anaplecta sp. 5 ZQW-2020. RNAcentral's name for it is "tRNA-Ser". Lineage: Eukaryota; Metazoa; Arthropoda; Insecta; Blattodea; Anaplectidae. The record is from RNAcentral.